GUUUCAAUUCCUCAUAGGCAGGCUAUCGGCCAAACGCGCUUCUGACGCGGGCUGGGGGCUGUUUUAG
Molecule: small RNA, 67 nt
Filed under: Acididesulfobacillus acetoxydans
Lineage: Bacteria; Bacillati; Bacillota; Clostridia; Eubacteriales; Peptococcaceae
Description: Peptococcaceae bacterium INE non-coding RNA
Source: RNAcentral